This 301-nucleotide ribosomal RNA is filed under the name uncultured bacterium. RNAcentral's name for it is "partial 16S ribosomal RNA". It matches the Rfam family "Bacterial small subunit ribosomal RNA", at positions 509 to 807 of the family's 1533-position model. The record is from RNAcentral.
CAGCCGCCACGGUAAUACGAAGGGUGCAAGCGUUACUCGGAAUUACUGGGCGUAAGGCGUGCGUAGGUGGUGGUUUAAGUCCGUUGUGAAAGCCCUGGGCUCAACCUGGGAAUUGCAGUGGAUACUAGGUCACUAGAGUGUGGUAGAGGAUAGUGGAAUUUCCGGUGUAGCAGUGAAAUGCGUAGAGAUCGGAAGGAACAUCUGUGGCGAAGGCGACUAUCUGGGCCAACACUGACACUGAGGCACGAAAGCGUGGGGAGCAAACAGGAUUAGAUACCCCUGUAGUCCCUGUCUCUUAUAC